CCUACGGGAGGCAGCAGUGAGGAAUAUUGGUCAAUGGACGCAAGUCUGAACCAGCCAUGCCGCGUGCAGGAAGACGGCUCUGUGAGUUGUAAAUUGCUUUUGUACGAGGGUAAACGCAGAUACGCGUAUCUGUCUGAGAGUAUCGUACGAAUAAGGAUCGGCUAACUCCGUGCCAGCAGCCGCGGUAAUACGGAGGAUUCGAGCGUUAUCCGGAUUUAUUGGGUUUAAAGGGUGCGCAGGCGGUCGGAUAAGUUAGAGGUGAAAUCCCGAGGCUCAACUUCGGAAUUGCCUCUGAUACUGGUCGUCUAGAGAGUAGUUGCGGUAGGCGGAAUGCAUGGUGUAGCGGUGAAAUGCUUAGAGAUCAUACAGAACACCGAUUGCGAAGGCAGCUUACCAAGCUACCUCUGACGUUGAGGCACGAAAGCGUGGGGAGCAAACAGGAUUAGAUACCCCAGUAGUC
RNAcentral lists this ribosomal RNA (460 nucleotides) under uncultured bacterium. RNAcentral's name for it is "partial 16S ribosomal RNA". It matches the Rfam family "Bacterial small subunit ribosomal RNA", at positions 338 to 795 of the family's 1533-position model. The record is from RNAcentral.